NNNNNNNNNNNNNNNNNNNNNNNNNNNNNNNNNNNCCCCGCCCCUCACAAGGCCCGCCCCCUGGCCCUCCUCCUUCGUCUCCUCCUCCCCACUACCCCCCCUUCUCGCUCAGCUGCUCCUUCUGCUCCCUUCCCCGACACCCUGGGCCGUCGAGCCAGGGAGAGUUGCGCGUGCUACCAGGGAAGCCGGGCCAGGCGCGAGGCGCUUGGAACCCGGAGAACUGGAGUGGGGGAGGGGAACACAAUGCGGUACAGAUUGUUCACGCAGUACGGUGUCUUUCCGUCGGCCCCUCGGGGAUCGCGCUACGUUCCAAACCCCUCGUAUCAGGAGCGAUGUGAGAACAGAGGUGACACGAGGACAAGGAAAAGUGGGGGAAGGGAGAUCCGGAAGGAUCUGGCAUACCACGGCGGAGAAGGAGCUGGGAGAUUUGGCAGUGUGUGGCCAGGAAAGGGUUAAUCGCGCAAACCGCAGCUGCGUCGCUCAGAGUUUGACUUGGGCCGCUCGUUUUUGUUCCAUUGUGAACCGUGGCCCCGGCGGCGAGUGCCCGGAUGAUGACGUCACCAAUCUCCCCCCCUUUUCCGGGAUUGUGGGGGGAGGGGUAGCGGAAAGACAAGAUCUUGAGACCACGCGCUGGGCGGUCUCACCCGCGCUUCAGGACCUGUAAGCGCCUGGGCUUCCUCACAACCUUACUGUGACCGACCACCCUCUGAGCAUAGGAGCCCUUAGAACAGCAAAGAAAGAUCUAUAAAGUGACAUGGACGGCACAGCGACAAAACAGUACUGAACAGCAAGAUUAGGUUCUUUUGCCAAAUCAAUACAACUAACAUAACACAAUUAAAAAAAAAAAAGUGUUAGAAUCGACAAAGGCCUUAAGAACCCACUACAUGCACCAUGUAUGUCAUGGCCUAUUUUCUACAUGUUUAUAUUCCAAAGUAAAGGUUAUCAGGCUAAUUUCAAAUAAAUGGUGUGCUUCGAUCAAUUCUAUAUAAUCUACCUCUGAGACCAAAUGAGAAAAGAAAUGCAGUUCCUAAUCUACCACAUUUCCUUCUGACUUAAAAAAAAGUGCUUUUGGACACUAAAUGCAAAAUUGUCGCAGACCCUUAUAAAAUAAGAUUGUUAUAUUUUGUAUGGAAGAGAGUUAGAUUUAGUUAUGCUAUGUUAAUCUAUAACAGAGUUGUUAAAAUGGAAUCCAAACUAAUUGGGUAUGACAGUACAUUACUAGUAUCUUAAAUUUUAAAAUCAUUUCUCUAUGUGUUACUAAACUCAUGUUUUUGCCCCAAAUUAUCUAACAAGGUAUCCAAGAAAAAAUUCAUAGCCCGAAUAAUUCAUAGCACAUUUUACCUUGUUUUUAUAAGUAUUUCCAUGAAUGGCUUUUCUUCUCCAUUAGCUUAUGAGCCCCUAAAGAGCAGACACUACCAUCUGUGUACACUGUAGGUUUAUUAACCGCAUGAUUUUACUUAAUCCUCAGAACCCUGUGAGGUAGCCAAAACUUAUAUUGCUAUCACUAAUUUUAGAUAAACAGAAAGGAUCAGUGAUUUGCCCAUGGAUUGGAAAGGACAGGAUUGGAAAGUGUUGAACAACCGGUCUUUUAACCCUAUUGAAAGUGCACCUUUAAUAAGGAUGUUGGGGCACCUGGGUGGCUCAGUGGAUUGAGCCUCUGCCUUCCGCUCAGGUCCUGAUCCCGGGGUCCUGGGAUCGAGCCCCGCAUCCCUGCUUCUCCCUCUCUCUCUGCCUGCCUCUCUGCCUACAUCUGCC
This 1755-nucleotide long non-coding RNA is filed under the name Mustela putorius furo (domestic ferret). RNAcentral's name for it is "lncRNA (ENSMPUG00000029930.1)". The record is from RNAcentral. Lineage: Eukaryota; Metazoa; Chordata; Mammalia; Carnivora; Mustelidae.